RNAcentral lists this long non-coding RNA (13783 nucleotides) under Salmo salar (Atlantic salmon). Its description in RNAcentral is "lncRNA (ENSSSAG00000120296.1)". The record is from RNAcentral. Lineage: Eukaryota; Metazoa; Chordata; Actinopteri; Salmoniformes; Salmonidae.
UGAGAGCCUAUGGGAGCCGUGGGAAGUGUCACGUUACCGCAGAGAUCCUUUGUUUUGGAAAGAGAUGUCAAAGAAAGCCAAUAAAUAGUCAGACAGGCCACUUCCUGUAAAGGAAUCUCUCAGGUUUUUGCCUGCCAUAUGAGUUCUGUUAUACUCACAGACACCAUUCAAACAGUUUUAGAAACUUUAGUGUGUUUUCUAUCCAUAUCUAAUAAGUAUAUGCAUAUUCUAGUUACUGGGUAGGAGUAGUAACCAGAUUAAAUCGGGUACGUUUUUUAUCCGGCGGUGUAAAUACUGCCCCCUAGCCCUAAGAGGAUAACAUAAAUCUUCAGGGCGUUUUUCAACAAGAGAGCCAAUAAGAUUCGAGGGGGACGAUUGCAGUGUGUUUCAAAACGUUUCGAAAGGGGAGGGUAACCAGGGACGCCGGCAUUCCCCAUGCGGGGGGGCUGGCAGCACUAGCUCACUAUUUGGGAGACAGAGAUACUAAUGAAUAUCCACCAACAAACUUUAUUUUAGAGCUGGCAGAAUAUGUUUUGAAGUAUAACUAUUUUAGGUUUGAUGAUGAAUACUACCUCCAAACGAAUGGAACGUCGAUGGGCUCCACAUUCGAUCCGAGUUAUGCUAACCUUUAUGUGGGUCUAUUUGAAGAACGUUUUGUCAAUAACAAAAAACGAAAAUCCAUUUUUGAAUAAAAUCCUGAAGUGGUAUCGAUAUAUUGACAAAAAUUUUUGCAUAUGGGAAGGAACUGAACAAGAGCUGUCAGAUAGGGUAGGAAACAGACAGUGGGUUAGGGUAGGAAACAGACAGACAGUGAAUUAGGGUAUGAAACAGACAGACAUUUAGUUAGGGUAUGAAACAGACAGACAGUGAGUUAGGGUAGGAAACAGACAGACAGUGGGUUAGGGUAUGAUACAGACAGACAGUGAGUUAGGGUAUGAUACAGACAGACAGCGGGUUAGGGUAUGAAACAGACAGACAGUGGGUUAGGGUAUGAAACAGACAGACAGUGAGUUAGGGUAGGAAACAGACAGACAGUGGGUUAGGGUAUGAUACAGACAGACAGUGAGUUAGGGUAUGAAACAGACAGACAGUGAGUUAGGGUAGGACAGACAGUGGGUUACGGUAGGAAACAGACAGACAGUGGGUUAGGGUAGGAAACAGACAUUGGGUUAGGGUAGGAAACAGACAGACAGUGGGUUAGGGUAUGAAACAGACAGACAGUGAGUUAGGGUAGGAAACAGACAGUGGGUUAGGGUAGGAAACAGACAGACAGUGGGUUAGGGUAGGAAACAGACAGACAGUGUGUUAGGGUAGGAAACAGACAGUGUGUUAGGGUAGGAGACAGACAGACAGUGGGUUAGGGUAUGAAACAGACAGACAGUGGGUUAGGGUAAGAAAUAGACAGACAGUGGUUUAGGGUAUGAAACAGACAGACAGUGGGUUAGGGUAGGAAACAGACAGUGGGUUAGGGUAGGAAACAGACAGACAGUGGGUUAGGGUAGGAAACAGACAGUGGGUUAGGGUAUGAAACAGACAGACAGUGGGUUAGGGUAGGACACAGACAGUGAGUUAGGGUAUGAAAUAGACAGACAGUGGGUUAGGGUAGGAAAUAGACAGUGGGAUAGGGUAGGAAACAGACAGUGGGUUAGGGUAGGAAACAGACAGACAGUGGGUUAGGGUAUGAAACAGACAGACAGUGGGUUAGGGUAGGAAAUAGACAGUGGGUUAGGGUAGUACACAGACAGACUGAGGGUUAGGGUAGAAGGCAGACAGUGGGUCAGGGUAUGAAACAGACAGACAGUGGGUUAGGUAAGGAAACAGACAGACAGUGGUUUGGGUAUGAAACAGACAGACAGUGGGUUAGGGUAGGAAACAGACAGACAGUGGGUUAGGGUAUGAAACAGACAGACAGUGGGAUAGGGUAGGACGCAGACAGUGUGUUAGGGUAUGAAACAGACAGACAGUGGGUUAGGUAAGGAAACAGACAGACAGUGGUUUGGGUAUGAAACAGACAGACAGUGUGUUAGGGUAGGAAACAGACAGACAGUGGGUUAGGGUAGGAAACAGACAGUGGGUUAGGGUAUGAAACAGACAGACAGUGGGAUAGGGUAGGACGCAGACAGUGUGUUAGGGUAUGCAAUAGACAGACAGUGGGUUAGGGUAUGAAACAGACAGACAGUGGGUUAGGGUAGGAAAUAGACAGUGGGAUAGGGUAGGAAAGAGACAGUGGGUUAGGGUAGGAAACAGACAGACAGUGGGUUAGGGUAUGAAACAGACAGACAGUGGGUCAGGGUAGGAAAUAGACAGUGGGUUAGGGUAAGACACAGACAGACAGUGGGUCAGGGUAGGAAACAGACAGUGGGUUAGGGUAGGAAACAGACAGACAGUGGGUUAGGGUAGGAAACAGACAGUGUGUUAGGGUAUGAAACAGACAGACAGUGGGUUAGGGUAGGACACAGACAGUGGGUUAGGGUAGGAUAUAGACAGUGGGAUAGGGUAGGAAACAGACAGUGGGUUAGGGUAGGAAACAGACAGACAGUGGGUUAGGGUAUGAAACAGACAGACAGUGGGUUAGGGUAGGAAAUAGACAGUGGGUUAGGGUAGGACACAGACAGACUGUGGGUUAGGGUAGAAGACAGACAGUGGGUCAGGGUAUGAAACAGACAGACAGUGGGUUAGGGUAGGAAAUAGACAGUGGGAUAGGGUAGGAAACAGACAGUGGGUUAGGGUAGGAAACAGACAGACAGUGGGUUAGGGUAUGAAACAGACAGACAGUGUGUUAGGGUAGGAAAUAGACAGUGGGUUAGGGUAGGACACAGACAGACUGUGGGUUAGGGUAGAAGACAGACAGUGGGUCAGGGUAUGAAACAGACAGACAGUGGGUUAGGGUAAGACACAGACAGACUGUGGGUUAGGGUAGGAAACAGACAGUGGGUCAGGUUAUGAAACAGACAGACAGUGAGUUAGGGUAGGACAAACAGUGGGUUAGGGUAGGAAACAGACAGACAGUGGGUUAGGGUAGGAAACAGACAGACAGUGUGUCAGGGUAGGAGACAGACAGUGGGUUAGGGUAUGAAACAGACAGACAGUGAAUUAGGGUAUGAAACAGACAGACAUUGAGUUAGGGUAUGAAACAGACAGACAGUGAGUUAGGGUAGGAAACAGACAGACAGUGUGUUAGGGUAUGAUACAGACAGACAGUGAGUUAGGGUAUGAUACAGACAGACAGCGGGUUAGGGUAUGAAACAGACAGACAGUGGGUUAGGGUAUGAAACAGACAGACAGUGAGUUAGGGUAGGAAACAGACAGACAGUGGGUUAGGGUAUGAUACAGACAGACAGUGAGUUAGGGUAUGAUACAGACAGACAGUGGGUUAGGGUAUGAAACAGACAGACAGUGAGUUAGGGUAGGACAGACAGUGGGUUAGGGUAGGAAACAGACAGACAGUGGGUUAGGGUAGGAAACAGACAGUGUGUUAGGGUAGGAAACAGACAGACAGUGGGUUAGGGUAUGAAACAGACAGACAGUGAGUUAGGGUAGGAAACAGACAGUGGGUUAGGGUAGGAAACAGACAGACAGUGGGUUAGGGUAGGAAACAGACAGACAGUGUGUUAGGGUAGGAAACAGACAGUGUGUUAGGGUAGGAGACAGACAGACAGUGGGUUAGGGUAUAAAACAGACAGACAGUGGGUUAGGGUAAGAAAUAGACAGACAGUGGUUUAGGGUAUGAAACAGACAGACAGUGGGUUAGGGUAGGAAACAGACAGUGGGUUAGGGUAGGAAACAGACAGACAGUGGGUUAGGGUAGGAAACAGACAGUGGGUUAGGGUAGGAAACAGACAGACAGUGGGUUAGGGUAGGACACAGACAGUGAGUUAGGGUAUGAAAUAGACAGACAGUGGGUUAGGGUAUGAAACAGACAGACAGUGGGUUAGGGUAGGAAAUAGACAGUGGGAUAGGGUAGGAAACAGACAGUGGGUUAGGGUAGGAAACAGACAGACAGUGGGUUAGGGUAUGAAACAGACAGACAGUGGGUUAGGGUAGUACACAGACAGACUGUGGGUUAGGGUAGAAGACAGACAGUGGGUCAGGGUAUGAAACAGACAGACAGUGGGUUAGGUAAGGAAACAGACAGACAGUGGUUUGGGUAUGAAACAGACAGACAGUGGGUUAGGGUAGGAAACAGACAGACAGUGGGUUAGGGUAGGAAACAGACAGUGGGUUAGGGUAUGAAACAGACAGACAGUGGGAUAGGGUAGGACGCAGACAGUGUGUUAGGGUAUGAAACAGACAGACAGUGGAUUAGGUAAGGAAACAGACAGACAGUGGUUUGGGUAUGAAACAGACAGACAGUGCGUUAGGGUAGGAAACAGACAGACAGUGGGUUAGGGUAGGAAACAGACAGUGGGUUAGGGUAUGAAACAGACAGACAGUGGGAUAGGGUAGGACGCAGACAGUGUGUUAGGGUAUGCAAUAGACAGACAGUGGGUUAGGGUAUGAAACAGACAGACAGUGGGUUAGGGUAGGAAACAGACAGUGGGAUAGGGUAGGAAAGAGACAGUGGGUUAGGGUAGGAAACAGACAGACAGUGGGUUAGGGUAUGAAACAGACAGACAGUGGGUUAGGGUAGGAAAUAGACAGUGGGUUAGGGUAAGACACAGACAGACAGUGGGUUAGGGUAGGAAACAGACAGUGGGUUAGGGUAGGAAACAGACAGACAGUGGGUUAGGGUAGGAAACAGACAGUGGGUUAGGGUAUGAAACAGACAGACAGUGGGUUAGGGUAGGAAAUAGACAGUGGGAUAGGGUAGGAAACAGACAGUGGGUUAGGGUAGGAAACAGACAGACAGUGGGUUAGGGUAUGAAACAGACAGACAGUGGGUUAGGGUAGGAAAUAGACAGUGGGUUAGGGUAGGACACAGACAGACUGUGGGUUAGGGUAGAAGACAGACAGUGGGUCAGGGUAUGAAACAGACAGACAGUGGGUUAGGUAAGGAAACAGACAGACAGUGGUUUGGGUAUGAAACAGACAGACAGUGGGUUAGGGUAGGAAACAGACAGACAGUGGGUUAGGGUAGGAAACAGACAGUGGGUUAGGGUAUGAAACAGACAGACAGUGGGAUAGGGUAGGACACAGACAGUGUGUUAGGGUAUGCAAUAGACAGACAGUGGGUUAGGGUAUGAAACAGACAGACAGUGGGUUAGGGUAGGAAAUAGACAGUGGGAUAGGGUAGGAAAGAGACAGUGGGUUAGGGUAGGAAACAGACAGACAGUGGGUUAGGGUAUGAAACAGACAGACAGUGGGUUAGGGUAGGAAAUAGACAGUGGGUUAGGGUAAGACACAGACAGACAGUGGGUUAGGGUAGGAACAGACAGACAGUGGGUUAGGGUAGGAAACAGACAGUGUGUUAGGGUAGGAAACAGACAGACAGUGGGUUAGGGUAUGAAACAGACAGACAGUGAGUUAGGGUAGGAAACAGACAGUGGGUUAGGGUAGGAAACAGACAGACAGUGGGUUAGGGUAGGAAACAGACAGACAGUGUGUUAGGGUAGGAAACAGACAGUGGGUUAGGGUAGGAAACAGACAGACAGUGGGUUAGGGUAUGAAACAGACAGACAGUGGGUUAGGGUAAGAAAUAGACAGACAGUGGGUUAGGGUAUGAAACAGACAGACAGUGGGUUAGGGUAGGAAACAGACAGUGGGUUAGGGUAGGAAACAGACAGACAGUGGGUUAGGGUAGGAAACAGACAGUGGGUUAGGGUAGGAAACAGACAGACAGUGGGUUAGGGUAGGACACAGACAGUGAGUUAGGGUAUGAAAUAGACAGACAGUGGGUUAGGGUAUGAAACAGACAGACAGUGGGUUAGGGUAGGAAAUAGACAGUGGGAUAGGGUAGGAAACAGACAGUGGGUUAGGGUAGGAAACAGACAGACAGUGGGUUAGGGUAUGAAACAGACAGACAGUGGGUUAGGGUAAGACACAGACAGACUGUGGGUUAGGGUAGGAAACAGACAGUGGGUCAGGGUAUGAAACAGACAGACAGUGGGUUAGGUAAGGAAACAGACAGACAGUGGUUUGGGUAUGAAACAGACAGACAGUGGGUUAGGGUAGGAAACAGACAGACAGUGGGUUAGGGUAGGAAACAGACAGUGGGUUAGGGUAUGAAACAGACAGACAGUGGGAUAGGGUAGGACGCAGACAGUGUGUUAGGGUAUGAAACAGACAGACAGUGGAUUAGGUAAGGAAACAGACAGACAGUGGUUUGGGUAUGAAACAGACAGACAGUGCGUUAGGGUAGGAAACAGACAGACAGUGGGUUAGGGUAGGAAACAGACAGUGGGUUAGGGUAUGAAACAGACAGACAGUGGGAUAGGGUAGGACGCAGACAGUGUGUUAGGGUAUGCAAUAGACAGACAGUGGGUUAGGGUAUGAAACAGACAGACAGUGGGUUAGGGUAGGAAAUAGACAGUGGGAUAGGGUAGGAAAGAGACAGUGGGUUAGGGUAGGAAACAGACAGACAGUGGGUUAGGGUAUGAAACAGACAGACAGUGGGUUAGGGUAGGAAACAGACAGUGGGUUAGGGUAAGACACAGACAGACAGUGGGUUAGGGUAGGAAACAGACAGUGGGUUAGGGUAGGAAACAGACAGACAGUGGGUUAGGGUAGGAAACAGACAGUGGGUUAGGGUAUGAAACAGACAGACAGUGGGUUAGGGUAGGAAACAGACAGUGGGAUAGGGUAGGAAACAGACAGUGGGUUAGGGUAGGAAACAGACAGACAGUGGGUUAGGGUAUGAAACAGACAGACAGUGGGUUAGGGUAGGAAAUAGACAGUGGGUUAGGGUAGGACACAGACAGACUGUGGGUUAGGGUAGAAGACAGACAGUGGGUCAGGGUAUGAAACAGACAGACAGUGGGUUAGGUAAGGAAACAGACAGACAGUGGUUUGGGUAUGAAACAGACAGACAGUGGGUUAGGGUAGGAAACAGACAGACAGUGGGUUAGGGUAGGAAACAGACAGUGGGUUAGGGUAUGAAACAGACAGACAGUGGGAUAGGGUAGGACACAGACAGUGUGUUAGGGUAUGCAAUAGACAGACAGUGGGUUAGGGUAUGAAACAGACAGACAGUGGGUUAGGGUAGGAAAUAGACAGUGGGAUAGGUAGGAAAGAGACAGUGUGUUAGGGUAGGAAACAGACAGACAGUGGGUUAGGGUAUGAAACAGACAGACAGUGGGUUAGGGUAGGAAAUAGACAGUGGGUUAGGGUAAGACACAGACAGACAGUGGGUUAGGGUAGGAAACAGACAGUGGGUUAGGGUAGGAAACAGACAGACAGUGGGUUAGGGUAGGAAACAGACACUGGGUUAGGGUAUGAAACAGACAGACAGUGGGUUAGGGUAGGACACAGACAGUGAGUUAGGGUAUGAAAUAGACAGACAGUGGGUUAGGGUAUGAAACAGACAGACAGUGGGUUAGGGUAGGAAAUAGACAGUGGGAUAGGGUAGGAAACAGACAGUGGGUUAGGGUAGGAAACAGACAGACAGUGGGUUAGGGUAUGAAACAGACAGACAGUGGGUUAGGGUAGGAAAUAGACAGUGGGUUAGGGUAGGACACAGACAGACUGUGGGUUAGGGUAGAAGACAGACAGUGGGUCAGGGUAUGAAACAGACAGACAGUGGGUUAGGUAAGGAAACAGACAGACAGUGGUUUGGGUAUGAAACAGACAGACAGUGGGUUAGGGUAGGAAACAGACAGACAGUGGGUUAGGGUAGGAAACAGACAGUGGGUUAGGGUAUGAAACAGACAGACAGUGGGAUAGGGUAGGACGCAGACAGUGUGUUAGGGUAUGAAACAGACUGACAGUGGGUUAGGUAAGGAAACAGACAGACAGUGGUUUGGGUAUGAAACAGACAGACAGUGCGUUAGGGUAGGAAACAGACAGACAGUGGGUUAGGGUAGGAAACAGACAGUGGGUUAGGGUAUGAAACAGACAGACAGUGGGAUAGGGUAGGACGCAGACAGUGUGUUAGGGUAUGCAAUAGACAGACAGUGGGUUAGGGUAUGAAACAGACAGACAGUGGGUUAGGGUAGGAAAUAGACAGUGGGAUAGGGUAGGAACAGACAGACAGUGGGUUAGGGUAUGAAACAGACAGACAGUGGGUUAGGGUAGGAAAUAGACAGUGGGUUAGGGUAAGACACAGACAGACAGUGGGUUAGGGUAGGAAACAGACAGUGGGUUAGGGUAGGAAACAGACAGACAGUGGGUUAGGGUAGGAAACAGACAGUGGGUUAGGGUAUGAAACAGACAGACAGUGGGUUAGGGUAGGACACAGACAGUGAGUUAGGGUAUGAAAUAGACAGACAGUGGGUUAGGGUAUGAAACAGACAGACAGUGGGUUAGGGUAGGAAAUAGACAGUGGGAUAGGGUAGGAAACAGACAGUGGGUUAGGGUAGGAAACAGACAGACAGUGGGUUAGGGUAUGAAACAGACAGACAGUGGGUUAGGGUAGGAAAUAGACAGUGGGUUAGGGUAGGACACAGACAGACUGUGGGUUAGGGUAGAAGACAGACAGUGGGUCAGGGUAUGAAACAGACAGACAGUGGGUUAGGUAAGGAAACAGACAGACAGUGGUUUGGGUAUGAAACAGACAGACAGUGGGUUAGGGUAGGAAACAAACAGACAGUGGGUUAGGGUAUGAAACAGACAGACAGUGGGAUAGGGUAGGACGCAGACAGUGUGUUAGGGUAUGAAACAGACUGACAGUGGGUUAGGUAAGGAAACAGACAGACAGUGGUUUGGGUAUGAAACAGACAGACAGUGCGUUAGGGUAGGAAACAGACAGACAGUGGGUUAGGGUAGGAAACAGACAGUGGUUUAGGGUAUGAAACAGACAGACAGUGGGAUAGGGUAGGACGCAGACAGUGUGUUAGGGUAUGCAAUAGACAGACAGUGGGUUAGGGUAUGAAACAGACAGACAGUGGGUUAGGGUAGGAAAUAGACAGUGGGAUAGGGUAGGAAAGAGACAGUGGGUUAGGGUAGGAAACAGACAGACAGUGGGUUAGGGUAUGAAACAGACAGACAGUGGGUUAGGGUAGGAAAUAGACAGUGGGUUAGGGUAAGACACAGACAGACUGUGGGUUAGGGUAGGAAACAGACAGUGGGUCAGGGUAUGAAACAGACAGACAGUGAGUUAGGGUAGGACAAACAGUGGGUUAGGGUAGGAAACAGACAGACAGUGGGUUAGGGUAGGAAACAGACAGACAGUGGGUCAGGGUAGGAAACAGACAGUGGGUUAGGGUAUGAAACAGACAGACAGUGAAUUAGGGUAUGAAACAGACAGACAUUUAGUUAGGGUAUGAAACAGACAGACAGUGAGUUAGGGUAGGAAACAGACAGACAGUGGGUUAGGGUAUGAUACAGACAGACAGCGGGUUAGGGUAUGAAACAGACAGACAGUGGGUUAGGGUAUGAAACAGACAGACAGUGAGUUAGGGUAGGAAACAGACAGACAGUGGGUUAGGGUAUGAUACAGACAGACAGUGAGUUAGGGUAUGAUACAGACAGACAGUGGGUUAGGGUAUGAAACAGACAGACAGUGAGUUAGGGUAGGACAGACAGUGGGUUAGGGUAGGAAACAGACAGACAGUGGGUUAGGGUAGGAAACAGACAGUGUGUUAGGGUAGGAAACAGACAGACAGUGGGUUAGGGUAUGAAACAGACAGACAGUGAGUUAGGGUAGGAAACAGACAGUGGGUUAGGGUAGGAAACAGACAGACAGUGGGUUAGGGUAGGAAACAGACAGACAGUGUGUUAGGGUAGGAAACAGACAGUGUGUUAGGGUAGGAGACAGACAGACAGUGGGUUAGGGUAUAAAACAGACAGACAGUGGGUUAGGGUAAGAAAUAGACAGACAGUGGUUUAGGGUAUGAAAUAGACAGACAGUGGGUUAGGGUAGGAAACAGACAGUGGGUUAGGGUAGGAAACAGACAGACAGUGGGUUAGGGUAGGAAACAGACAGUGGGUUAGGGUAUGAAACAGACAGACAGUGGGUUAGGGUAGGACACAGACAGUGAGUUAGGGUAUGAAAUAGACAGACAGUGGGUUAGGGUAUGAAACAGACAGACAGUGGGUUAGGGUAGGAAAUAGACAGUGGGAUAGGGUAGGAAACAGACAGUGGGUUAGGGUAGGAAACAGACAGACAGUGGGUUAGGGUAUGAAACAGACAGACAGUGGGUUAGGGUAGGAAAUAGACAGUGGGUUAGGGUAGGACACAGACAGACUGUGGGUUAGGGUAGAAGACAGACAGUGGGUCAGGGUAUGAAACAGACAGACAUUGGGUUAGGUAAGGAAACAGACAGACAGUGGUUUGGGUAUGAAACAGACAGACAGUGGGUUAGGGUAGGAAACAGACAGACAGUGGGUUAGGGUAGGAAACAGACAGUGGGUUAGGGUAUGAAACAGACAGACAGUGGGAUAGGGUAGGACGCAGACAGUGUGUUAGGGUAUGAAACAGACUGACAGUGGGUUAGGUAAGGAAACAGACAGACAGUGGUUUGGGUAUGAAACAGACAGACAGUGUGUUAGGGUAGGAAACAGACAGACAGUGGGUUAGGGUAGGAAACAGACAGUGGGUUAGGGUAUGAAACAGACAGACAGUGGGAUAGGGUAGGACGCAGACAGUGUGUUAGGGUAUGCAAUAGACAGACAGUGGGUUAGGGUAUGAAACAGACAGACAGUGGGUUAGGGUAGGAAAUAGACAGUGGGAUAGGGUAGGAAAGAGACAGUGGGUUAGGGUAGGAAACAGACAGACAGUGGGUUAGGGUAUGAAACAGACAGACAGUGGGUUAGGGUAGGAAAUAGACAGUGGGUUAGGGUAAGACACAGACAGACAGUGGGUUAGGGUAGGAAACAGACAGUGUGUUAGGGUAGGAAACAGACAGACAGUGGGUUAGGGUAGGAAACAGACAGUGGGUUAGGGUAUGAAACAGACAGACAGUGGGUUAGGGUAGGAAAUAGACAGUGGGAUAGGGUAGGAAACAGACAGUGGGUUAGGGUAGGAAACAGACAGACAGUGGGUUAGGGUAUGAAACAGACAGACAGUGGGUUAGGGUAGGAAAUAGACAGUGGGUUAGGGUAGGACACAGACAGACUGUGGGUUAGGGUAGAAGACAGACAGUGGGUCAGGGUAUGAAACAGACAGACAGUGGGUUAGGUAAGGAAACAGACAGACAGUGGUUUGGGUAUGAAACAGACAGACAGUGGGUUAGGGUAGGAAACAGACAGACAGUGGGUUAGGGUAGGAAACAGACAGUGGGUUAGGGUAUGAAACAGACAGACAGUGGGAUAGGGUAGGACGCAGACAGUGUGUUAGGGUAUGCAAUAGACAGACAGUGGGUUAGGGUAUGAAACAGACAGACAGUGGGUUAGGGUAGGAAAUAGACAGUGGGAUAGGGUAGGAAAGAGACAGUGUGUUAGGGUAGGAAACAGACAGACAGUGGGUUAGGGUAUGAAACAGACAGACAGUGGGUUAGGGUAGGAAAUAGACAGUGGGUUAGGGUAAGACACAGACAGACAGUGGGUUAGGGUAGGAAACAGACAGUGGGUUAGGGUAGGAAACAGACAGACAGUGGGUUAGGGUAGGAAACAGACAGUGGGUUAGGGUAUGAAACAGACAGACAGUGGGUUAGGGUAGGACACAGACAGUGGGUUAGGGUAUGAAACAGACAGACAGUGGGUUAGGGUAGGAAACAGACAGACAGUGGGUUAGGGUAGGAAACAGACAGACAGUGGGUUAGGGUAGGAAACAGACAGUGGGUUAGGGUAGGAAACAGACAGACAGUGGGUUAGGGUAGGAAACAGACAGACAGUGGGUUAGGGUAGGAAACAGACAGACAGUGGGUUAGGGUAGAAGACAGACAGUGGGUUAGGGUAUGAAACAGACAGACAGUGGGUUAGGGUAUGAAACAGACAGACAGUGGGUUAGGGUAUGAAACAGACAGACAGUGGGUUAGGGUAGGAAACAGACAGACAGUGGGUUAGGGUAGGAAACAGACAGACAGUGGGUUAGGGUAUGAAACAGACAGACAGUGGGUUAGGGUAGGAAACAGACAGUGGGUUAGGGUAGGAAACAGACAGUGGGUUAGGGUAGGAAACAGACAGACAGUGGGUUAGGGUAUGAAACAGACAGACAGUGGGUUAGGGUAGGAAACAGACAGUGGGUUAGGGUAGGAAACAGACAGACAGUGGGUUAGGGUAGGAAACAGACAGACAGUGGGUUAGGGUAGGAAACAGACAGACAGUGGGUUAGGGUAGGAAACAGACAGACAGUGGGUUAGGGUAGGAAACAGACAGUGGGUUAGGGUAUGAAACAGACAGACAGUGGGUUAGGGUAGGAAACAGACAGACAGUGGGUUAGGGUAUGAAACAGACAGACAGUGGGUUAGGGUAGGAAACAGACAGACAGUGGGUUAGGGUAUGAAACAGACAGACAGUGGGUUAGGGUAUGAAACAGACAGACAGUGGGUUAGGGUAUGAAACAGACAGACAGUGGGUUAGGGUAUGAAACAGACAGACAGUGGGUUAGGGUAGGAAACAGACAGACAGUGGGUUAGGGUAUGAAACAGACAGACAGUGGGUUAGGGUAUGAAACAGACAGACAGUGGGUUAGGGUAGGAAACAGACAGUGGGUUAGGGUAGGAAACAGACAGACAGUGGGUUAGGGUAUGAAACAGACAGACAGUGGGUUAGGGUAUGAAACAGACAGACAGUGGGUUAGGGUAGGAAACAGACAGUGGGUUAGGGUAGGAAACAGACAGACAGUGGGUUAGGGUAGGAAACAGACAGACAGUGGGUUAGGGUAGGAAACAGACAGUGGGUUAGGGUAGGAAACAGACAGACAGUGGGUUAGGGUAGGAAACAGACAGACAGUGGGUUAGGGUAGGAAAUAGACAGACAGUGGGUUAGGGUAGGAAGACAGACAGUGGGUUAGGGUAGGAAACAGACAGACAGUGGGUUAGGGUAGGAAAGACAGACAGUGGGUUAGGGUAUGAAACAGACAGACAGUGGGUUAGGGUAGGAAACAGACAGUGGGUUAGGGUAUGAAAUAGACAGACAGUGGGUUAGGGUAUGAAACAGACAGACAGUGGGUUAGGGUAGGAAACAGACAGUGGGAUAGGGUAGGAAACAGACAGUGGGUUAGGGUAGGAAACAGACAGACAGUGGGUUAGGGUAUGAAACAGACAGACAGUGGGUUAGGGUAGGAAAUAGACAGUGGGUUAGGGUAGGACACAGACAGACUGUGGGUUAGGGUAGAAGACAGACAGUGGGUCAGGGUAUGAAACAGACAGACAGUGGGUUAGGUAAGGAAACAGACAGACAGUGGUUUGGGUAUGAAACAGACAGACAGUGUGUUAGGGUAGGAAACAGACAGACAGUGGGUUAGGGUAGGAAACAGACAGUGGGUUAGGGUAUGAAACAGACAGACAGUGGGAUAGGGUAGGACGCAGACAGUGUGUUAGGGUAUGCAACAGACAGACAGUGGGUUAGGGUAUGAAACAGACAGACAGUGGGUUAGGGUAGGAAAUAGACAGUGGGAUAGGGUAGGAAAGAGACAGUGGGUUAGGGUAGGAAACAGACAGACAGUGGGUUAGGGUAUGAAACAGACAGACAGUGGGUUAGGGUAGGAAAUAGACAGUGGGUUAGGGUAAGACACAGACAGACAGUGGGUUAGGGUAGGAAACAGACAGUGUGUUAGGGUAGGAAACAGACAGACAGUGGGUUAGGG